Molecule: non-coding RNA, 398 nt
Filed under: Rhodanobacter glycinis
Lineage: Bacteria; Pseudomonadati; Pseudomonadota; Gammaproteobacteria; Lysobacterales; Rhodanobacteraceae
Description: Rhodanobacter sp. MO64 cspA thermoregulator
Rfam family: cspA thermoregulator
Source: Rfam by way of RNAcentral
CAGCACGCGCACGCACGUGAAUUGUGGGUUAUGCUGGCGAGGCAGCGCUUGAGGCAACUCCGGAUGCACUGCGCACCCUUACGGCGAGUUCGCCUCACUCCAAGCCGUAAAUCAUCCAUGUUUCAAAGGUUACGUGUUAUGUCGGAUCGUCAGAGCGGUACAGUCAAGUGGUUCAACGAUGCCAAGGGCUUCGGCUUCAUCAGCCCGGAAAGUGGUGACGACUUGUUCGUCCACUUCCGUGCCAUCCAGGGCAACGGCUUCAAGUCGCUGCAGGAAGGCCAGAAGGUCACCUUCGUCGUCGUCAAGGGCCCGAAGGGCCUGCAGGCCGACCAGGUGCAGGUGGCGUAAGCCUCCUUCCAAGGUGUUUUGGAGAAGCCCGCUUCGGCGGGCUUUUUCAU